RNAcentral lists this ribosomal RNA (253 nucleotides) under uncultured bacterium. RNAcentral describes it as "partial 16S ribosomal RNA". It matches the Rfam family "Bacterial small subunit ribosomal RNA", at positions 524 to 776 of the family's 1533-position model. The record is from RNAcentral.
UACAGAGGUCUCAAGCGUUGUUCGGAUUCACUGGGCGUAAAGGGUGCGUAGGUGGCCAGGUAAGUUCGGUGUGAAAGCUCGGAGCUUAACUCCGAAAUGGCAUUGAAUACUAUCUGGCUAGAGGGUCGGAGGGGAGACUGGAAUUCUCGGUGUAGCAGUGAAAUGCGUAGAUAUCGAGAGGAACACCAGUGGCGAAGGCGAGUCCCUGGACAACACCUGACACUGAGGCACGAAAGCUAGGGGAGCAAACAGG